RNAcentral lists this ribosomal RNA (349 nucleotides) under uncultured bacterium. RNAcentral's name for it is "partial 16S ribosomal RNA". It matches the Rfam family "Bacterial small subunit ribosomal RNA", at positions 338 to 685 of the family's 1533-position model. The record is from RNAcentral.
CCUACGGGUGGCUGCAGUGAGGAAUAUUGGUCAAUGGACGGAAGCCUGAACCAGCCAAGUAGCGUGCGGGAUGAAUGCCCUACGGGUCGUAAACCGCUUUUGCACGGGGAUAACACCCUCCACUUGUGGAGGUCUGCAUGUACCGUGUGAAUAAGGGCCGGCUAAUUCCGUGCCAGCAGCCGCGGUAAUACGGAAGGCCCGAGCGUUAUCCGGAUUCAUUGGGCUUAAAGGGAGCGUAGGCGGGCGUUCAAGUCAGCUGUAAAAUCGCGCGGCUCAACCGCGCCUCGCCGUUGAAACUGGAGGCCUUGAGUUCACAACGGGGAGGGGGAAUUGGGGGUGUGGCGGUGAA